UCCCGUGCGGGGGCGGGGCCGCAAGCGAGGAGCCCUCCCCCGCCCUUGCCGCCCCGCGGGCGCUUCCUGGGCUGGGCGCGCGCCAGAGCUGCAACCUUGUGCGGGGGGCGGUGGGGGCGGGACCUCCGCUGCCUCGCGGGGCGUGGCGCGGGGAAGCCGGUGCUCCACCUGCCAGGGGUCCGCGAAGGCACUCCUAGCCGGCCCCACGCGCACCCUGGAGAGCGCAGGGGGUCGAGCUGCGGGGGCGCCCCGCCGCGGGGUCCCGAGCCCCAGCCUGCAGCCGGGAGCGCGUGCACACCUGCAGACACACCGUGCAGUGCAUACGUGCGUGCAGCGUUGAGCCCGUGCACACCGUGCCGUGCACAGCUGCUUACACACCACUGCAUGCACACAGUGCCAUGCACACAUGCGUGCACACCUGCUGUGCACACCUGCCGCGCGCCCUCCCGAGACCCCUGCCCAGCGGAGCGAUAUAGGAACGGUGCCCCCAGAGCAGCUCAGCCUUCCUGCUCACGUGCAGCGCGCGGGAGGCCCAAGACCAGUUCGAGGACAUUAAGUCCGACCUUAAGAGAGGGUGGGACCGAAAGCCCAAUCCAUCAGUGGUUUCAAAUUGGCUUCCAUUAAAUGGGUCUAAACUCCCAUCCUGCCCAUCGUAAAGGUUCUCCCACAUGCUCCCUUCUGUGCUGACUCUGGAGGACUCAC
Molecule: long non-coding RNA, 702 nt
Filed under: Vulpes vulpes (red fox)
Lineage: Eukaryota; Metazoa; Chordata; Mammalia; Carnivora; Canidae
Description: lncRNA (ENSVVUG00000004292.1)
Source: RNAcentral